GGCUCUGUAGCUCAAUUGGUUAGAGCGCACGGUUCAUACCCGUGAGGUUGUGAGUUCGAUUCUCACCUGAGCCA
Molecule: non-coding RNA, 74 nt
Organism: Centruroides sculpturatus (bark scorpion)
Lineage: Eukaryota; Metazoa; Arthropoda; Arachnida; Scorpiones; Buthidae
Source: the annotation of a RefSeq genome assembly